This is a non-coding RNA of Pelobates cultripes (western spadefoot toad), 312 nucleotides long. Lineage: Eukaryota; Metazoa; Chordata; Amphibia; Anura; Pelobatidae. The record is from the annotation of a GenBank genome assembly.
CACUGAUGUUCAGAACCGCGUGGGCGGCUCGCUAGACGUAAACCACUGGACCCCACUGAAUGUGGGGGUCUGGACCAUAAGUAACGCUAAUGAGAACAGCCAACAAAGGCGACAUACCAGACAGACAUGGGCUAAUACGCUCUGCUUGUUCAAACUGGGAAGAGCGUACCCCGUAAACAUUGAUUGCCGACAACCUCUUUCCAAUCAUAACUCUGCUCAGUAUGACCCUCCAUGAAAUUCUGCUCACUUAAUGUUAGAGGACUGAAUAUUCCAGUCAAGAGGUACAUAUUGGGCAGAGAAUUGAAAUCCCUG